This 339-nucleotide unclassified non-coding RNA is filed under the name soil metagenome. Its description in RNAcentral is "partial contains 5.8S ribosomal RNA, internal transcribed spacer 2, and large subunit ribosomal RNA". The stretch from base 1 to 120 matches the Rfam family "5.8S ribosomal RNA", at positions 35 to 154 of the family's 154-position model. The record is from RNAcentral.
GAUGAAGAACGCAGCGAAAUGCGAUACGUAGUGUGAAUUGCAGAAUUCAGUGAAUCAUCGAAUCUUUGAACGCACAUUGCACCUCUCGGUAUUCCGGGAGGUAUGCCUGUUCGAGCGUCAUUUGUACCCUCAAGCUCUGCUUGGUGUUGGGUGUUUGUUCCGCCUCUGUGUGUGAACUCGCCUCAAAACAAUUGGCAGCCGGCGUACUUGUUUCGGAGCGCAGCACAUUUUGCGAUCCAGAUCAACGUACAGCGGCAUCCAAGAAGCCUUAUUUAACGCUCUUGACCUCGGAUCAGGUAGGGAUACCCGCUGAACUUAAGCAUAACAAUAAGCGGAGGA